AAAUGAGCCAUGAGGAUAUAAACCUGGUAAUUCUCCAUCGUAAGAAAGACAUCAUGCUGUCCACCUCAUGAAGGAAGAUGAGAUUAAGGCACACACAUGGGGAGGGGCAGAAUUGGAAUACCUCGGAGAUGUGGGUUUGGUACCAGAACACUGCCAUAAAGUGAAUAUCUCAAAAAAUAGGUAGUGUCUGAGCAGUGGAGGCUGAACGCAUGAGGUAUACUGCAGAGACAAUCAUAAGAUGUGGUGGAAUCCCUACAGCACUAAAAGUGUGAGAAAUAAAGUAAGGGACAAUGUAGAGGACCCAGGACACGAAUUGGGGGCAUUUUACCUGGUCUGCACAUUUGGAACCUUGGGAAUUUGAAAUGCUGAAGUACACAAAAAUGGGAUCCAGGUUGUUUCUGUUAAGGUGAGUAGAAGAUGCAUCUUUAGCCUCUCCUGCCUUGAAGUGGCCCAUGCUUCCCCUUCGAAAGCCUGGAGUUACCACAAAUGCAUUAGAAAACUAAUGGCAUCCAUGAUGGAAUGAUAUGAAUAAAAUAUUCCAACCCUCUACGCCCUGGUUUUAUCAGCCUACAAAACUCAAUUCUCACACCAUUCUGUC
Acinonyx jubatus (cheetah) is the source of this 598-nucleotide long non-coding RNA. RefSeq lists it as uncharacterized. NCBI's taxonomy places the organism in Eukaryota, Metazoa, Chordata, Mammalia, Carnivora, Felidae. The record is from RefSeq and is a predicted model, not a curated record. The transcript has 5 exons.